Long non-coding RNA from Strigops habroptila (Kakapo), 1587 nucleotides. NCBI's taxonomy places the organism in Eukaryota, Metazoa, Chordata, Aves, Psittaciformes, Psittacidae. The record is from Ensembl.
CAUACAAGUGCACACAUGCUUUAUUUCAAGAUCUUAUUACACUGUAGUUAUAAGUCUGGAAUGGAAAGCAGGCUUAUAUGCAAGAACAAAACAAGAAGAUAAUUUUAUUAAGAAGAUGUAGACUCUGGUAGGACUGCUUAAUUACUUAACAGAGAUUGUCACCUUGCAUUUACAACACGCUGUUCAGUUCCUUGAAUCCCAGAGGACUUAUAUGGGAGACUUUGACAUUGAAGUUUCUAAUGUAGGCACAUAAGCUGUACAAAAUGAGUGUGUGCUGAUGCCUUAAGUGAAAGCGCCUAAAGGUCUGGUGUUCCUGGAUGCAGGGGUACUCAUCGAGCAUAUGAGGUGAUAUGAAUCUUUGCUUUGUUCCACAUUCUUUAUCAAAAGAGCAGCCUGCAUUUCUCCCCUUCCAGGGCUUGUUUAUUUUUAACAGCUGAUCACAGGUUUUGUGGGAGGCUAUGUGGGGCAAGAAGAGGAGCAGAAAGCAAGUAAUCUCCCUUGCUUUCUUACUAAUGAGACUACAAAAUGACACAGCCAUCCACAGUACAAUAAAGCCCCAAUGUUUAAUGAGCAUGAGGCUCCUUAUAGCUACUUUGGAAGCUCAGUUAGCUCACCUGUGCUGUUAGUACAGGACAUGCUCUGACACAGAGAGGAGUUGCCACAGCUUGUGACAUGUGCAUCUUUGCCUCAUGGAAAAAGAUCUCAAGGAUUUCAUGGGAGAUGAGAAAUGAACACACCCCCCCGUGCUGCCCUCGUAUAAUGGGGUACAUGGCUUAGGAUGGAGCGGUACUCUGCAUGGAAGACUAAUGGAAACCAGAAGGUCCUCAGUGGAGGAGCAAUGCCUUGGGAGGCCCUACACCUCACAGAGGAAUAUGCUGCAAGGAAGACAGGAAGUAGAUCCAGCUUGUUAAGAUUAUGACUCAGGAUACAUCUUUAUUUCUGAGCUUCUGUCCCUGGAUAUUCCUCAUAUAACAGGAGUUCAUUCUGCAGUAGCAGUGAUUCCCGGGAACUUUCAGGCAUGGUUUAAUCUAUACUCAUCCCCAGGUGUCUCAUCUAAACUCACCCCCAGCUCCAGUGCAGGAUAUUUGCUAGGCUUCUGGGGCUGGCAGGAGGAGACCCUCAGGCUGUCCCCAUCACUCUUCUCCACCCCAUUUACCAGCUGGCAGAGCCUGGACUGCUCUGGGCAGCAUACAUGUGUGGGAAAUGGUGCUACAGGGUGGGUUCAGGAGAGAAGAAAAGGCAGGAAAGCAUGAAGAAUGAAUACGUCACAUAUAAGAGAUGUGCCUGGGAAAUGCAAGUUUGGUGUGAAGAACUGAGCAGGAGCAUGAAAAACUCUGGAUUUUCAUCAAGCAAAAGAGAGGAACAGCAUAUCAACAGCAUACGGGGUGGGAUGAGGGCAUGAAAUACAGGAGUGAGUAUGUGUGGGUGUCUGCACACAUGAAAGAAUAGGAGAAAGGCAGAAGGAAGCAGCAAGAGGAAAAAGGGAGCUGGGAGUAUUCUGGAGAUAACACAUCCUGAGAGAUGCUUCCAACAAAGUGAGCUCUCAAUGAACUGGCAAAUUAUAACAUCGUAAGAUAAAGCAGUCCC